CAUAUUCCAAGCUGCAUGCUCGGUCAAAAAGGACAAUCAUCCCUGCUAGAGGAGGACCUUUCUUCUGUCAAGGGUAUACACAUAGCUGUGCUCCUCUGCUAAAACCUCCAAACAAGCUCUCAAGAUAUAUUCCUAUUCUAUGCACAGAAAACC
RNAcentral lists this small RNA (153 nucleotides) under Carlito syrichta (Philippine tarsier). Its description in RNAcentral is "7SK RNA (ENSTSYG00000027143.1)". It matches the Rfam family "7SK RNA", at positions 117 to 270 of the family's 331-position model. From Rfam's summary of the family: 7SK was discovered as an abundant small nuclear RNA in the mid-70s but a possible function has only recently been suggested. Two independent studies have found that 7SK RNA binds the CDK9/cyclin T complex (known as elongation factor P-TEFb). P-TEFb activates transcription by phosphorylating the C-terminal domain of RNA polymerase II. Lineage: Eukaryota; Metazoa; Chordata; Mammalia; Primates; Tarsiidae. The record is from RNAcentral.